AUUGAACGCUGGCGGCAUGCCUUACACAUGCAAGUCGAACGGCAGCACGGGAGCAAUCCUGGUGGCGAGUGGCGAACGGGUGAGUAAUGUAUCGGAACGUGCCUUGUCGUGGGGGAUAACGUAGCGAAAGCUACGCUAAUACCGCAUACCAUCUAAGGAUGAAAGCGGGGGAUCGCAAGACCUCGCGCGACAAGAGUGGCCGAUAUCAGAUUAGGUUGUUGGUGGGGUAAAGGCCUACCAAGCCGACGAUCUGUAGCUGGUCUGAGAGGACGACCAGCCACACUGGGACUGAGACACGGCCCAGACUCCUACGGGAGGCAGCAGUGGGGAAUAUUGCGCAAUGGGCGAAAGCCUGACGCAGCCAUACCGCGUGUGUGAAGAAGGCCUCGGUUGUAAGACGACUUCAGUGGGAGGGAAAGGACGUAGGUGGCGUAAUAUCCAUCGCCGUGACACUACCCACACGAAGAAGAC
This 471-nucleotide ribosomal RNA is filed under the name uncultured bacterium. RNAcentral's name for it is "bacterial SSU rRNA". It matches the Rfam family "Bacterial small subunit ribosomal RNA", at positions 29 to 492 of the family's 1533-position model. The record is from RNAcentral.